AUCCACAGUGCAUCUGUGGAACUUGAGAAAACUUUACCACAAGACAGCACAAAGCCAACCAGGGUCCCUGAUUAAAAGUGAUUUCUUCUUUAAUUGAAAUGAUCUCUAUGAACAGCUGCCAGAGGAGCUUCUGAAGAGGGAAGUGCUACGAAGAGAGUUGGAAUAAGAACUAGAGGACAGAAGACUUGGUAAUGGAGUUCCUGGAAAUUGGAGAUAAUAAACUUUUCCCAACAGAAGAAACUUCUCAUGGCACAGAACCUGCCAGCAGAAAGAUGAAGACACCUGUCCCUAUCUGCAUGUAGAGUCAUAAGCAGUGAUUUUCUAACUUGGCAGUGCUCCUUCGAGUUGACAUUUCCAAAAUCACCUAGAGGACCAGGAAAUUCAGUCAGGCUGGCAGCACAAGAGGUGGGCCUGAUCAAAUCCCUCCUGGAAAAUUAUUAUUCAAGAAAUAAGAGAAAAUGGAAGACGCUGGGCACAUGUCCCAAAAUACUAUAGAUAAGUUUUUGGAAGUAACUACUGAUUUCCAAAUAUAGAAAGUUUUCGAGCUUUGAUUUAUUUCGACCUAGAAGAAAAUUUAAAAAAUAAAAAGUGACAAAAUAAAGGCAACAUAUUUUCCUACUGUAACUCCUCAUCCAGAAUGAAGAGAUUUGAAAAAAUUAAUCUCAAUGAUUCAAACACCUCUCCUAAAGAACAUAUUUUCCUCCAUUAUAUAAGUAUUUCAAGUGGAGGUUUUUAAAUCUAAACAAUCAGAUUCCAAAAUGACUGCUUGUUUUCUUCCUUUUCAUGGCUGGGUAGCUUUCCUCCUUCUGUCUCGCUGUUUCUCUCCUCCCUCCCUCCCUCCCUCCCUCCCCCU
RNAcentral lists this long non-coding RNA (853 nucleotides) under Homo sapiens (human). RNAcentral describes it as "non-protein coding lnc-KCNA4-9:3". Lineage: Eukaryota; Metazoa; Chordata; Mammalia; Primates; Hominidae. The record is from RNAcentral.